This 1317-nucleotide long non-coding RNA is filed under the name Bemisia tabaci. RNAcentral describes it as "lncRNA ENSSSA1UGG009459". Lineage: Eukaryota; Metazoa; Arthropoda; Insecta; Hemiptera; Aleyrodidae. The record is from RNAcentral.
CCGACAACAUUAUAAGAAAGCAGCUCCUACAUUCAUCAUCCCACUUCAGUUUCAAGGUGACAGCACAUCCUUCAGAGGCCGAAUUUUAUUUUUUUUCACCCAAGCAGUGAUUUGGCCUCCUACCUUCCUAUGCUCACCCCAGAUUAAUAUGAGAAAAAGGUUUCCAAAACAACGCAGAGGGCAUUAUCAUCGACUCGGAGCCUGACGCUCAGCCAUUGAAGAUGCCUCAGCCAGAAAAUACUGCCUCCACACACCAAUCUAACUUCGACCAUCAAACAACAUCCCAUUUGUCACCUUUUUCCUCCGAUACCACACCACACUGACCACAAAUUAUCUCAGUUUCUACUUUCUUUUCAAGCCAAAGAAGAAAAUUUUCUCAUUUUGUACAGAAUCAUCUCAAAACGCACUUUACCUUAGUCCUUAAUUUCUUUUGAUACUCUAUAUUACCUGCCCAUUUUGACGUCAUGAUGAAAUCAACACACAGCUGCUUAUAUAGGCGUUCAUAUCUGGAAUAAGGGAUGUAACAGAAUAAAAUUCUCUACUAAUUUGUCGAUCAAACGGUUUCGAGAGUGUAAACAUCUUAAAAUUAAAAUCAUUAUCGUUCAGUUGGGCUCGAAAGAUAACCUCGAAAUUUUACAUUAAACAUUUUUAGCGCGUUUAUACAGACUUCGAGGACGAAUUUAAAUAAAAUAAAAUCAGGUUAAACAUUUUAGAGUUGAUGUUAAAAAUGAGAGAUGACAAGGCAUAGAAAAUCUACCGACUGCAAAAUCCAAUUCACGUACCUGUCAAAAGCCAGGAAGCGCCAUAGCAUGGCGUGACCUCUUUGCCCGCGAAUAGUAUAUAGAUGGCCAUUAAAUGAAAUUGUAUCAUCACGCAGAUUAGGCACCAUUAACUUGAGUGUAGUCACAUUUUGUGCCGAUGAAGACGUCACGGCAACCAAUCAUAACAUUCAAUCGGGAGCGGGGGCGAGGCGUGGGUGAUCAACUAUCGAUAUUUCCCCGUUUGAAGCUGUGGUAAAGAAUCGAUUAGCAAGGUGUUCGUCGCGAAUACUCUGUUUAUCGAUCCAUUUCCAUAGGUUUAAAUGGCAAAUCAAUCGAUAUAUCGCAAAGCACGCAACUCCAAUGUAAAAUGUCCCAAUGCAAUCAAAGUUGAGCAACAGAGCCUCAUCUAGCUCCGUAGUUGCAAGUGAUGUUUAAAUUGUGCGGGGUAAAUCAAACUUGCAUCAUUUUGGGUUGAUUAAGUCACAGUCCGGCUCCGCUUAUUGACUUUUCGCCGCAGCAUUGCCAGACGUUUCCGAUUUUAGAGAUCAGUAGAACC